This 252-nucleotide ribosomal RNA is filed under the name uncultured bacterium. RNAcentral describes it as "partial 16S ribosomal RNA". It matches the Rfam family "Bacterial small subunit ribosomal RNA", at positions 30 to 289 of the family's 1533-position model. The record is from RNAcentral.
UUGAACGCUGGCGGCAUGCCUUACACAUGCAAGUCGAACGGUAGAGGGGCAACCCUUGAGAGUGGCGAACGGGUGAGUAAUAUAUCGGAACGUGCCCAGUCGUGGGGGAUAACGCAGCGAAAGCUGCGCUAAUACCGCAUACGAUCUAAGGAUGAAAGCGGGGGAUCGCAAGACCUCGCGCGAUUGGAGCGGCCGAUAUCAGAUUAGGUAGUUGGUGGGAUAAAAGCCUACCAAGCCGACGAUCUGUAGCUG